UACAACAACCAAAUACACAACAAGUAACACCUUAUUCUAUGAUUUAUCCCAUUGACUUGAAUGGGACUAAUUGAGGAGAUCUGAACAACUCAGUGGAAGGAUAUCGGAGUCUGGCCCUUAACCAAUAAAAUUAUGCACGUGCCUAAGUGUUUGCAGGAUCCAGCUCUUCUGAUCACAGUAAAAUGCAAGGAAAACUGCAAUGUCUGAAAAAAGAUUAAAAGGAUGUGCCACUACGCAGCUAAAUCGUCUCCCAAACAGGCAAGAAUAAGAAAAUGUGUGCCUGGAAACCUCGGUGCUGAAAAGUGGAUAUGGCCACAGGUCACUGCAGUGGACAAGGGAGAGGGAAAGAAAGAAAAUAAGAGGGGACAGAAAAAGAAUGAAAGGGAGGAAAAAACAGAAAAAAGAGAAGAAAACAGCAGAUUUUCUAUUUAUUUCUAUUAGUCUGUAACAGCACAAUGUUUACAGUUUACCCUGCCCACUCCUCCCCCAUUAAGAAGGGAUCUGAUAAACAUUUCCAACUAUUCAGUUGUUUUAAACAUCACUACACACAUUCUUGAAACAUUUCUGAGUGAUGGGCACAACAUUAUAGGUGGUGAGUACCUGUGUAGAAGGGUGGAACUGGGAUUUAUGUACUUAUGAGUUGUCACUUAGGGCUUGUCCAUACAGCGAGUUAGUGUGCGGCAAGCUGGGAUGUAUAUCUACAGCUCUCUAGCAUGCUGGGCAGUCCAUGUUGACCCUGCUGCUGUGCACUAGAAGUUCCCUAAGUGUACUACGGACAGUUUGUGUGUGUCAUGCUGGAGCACCGUAGAUUUACGUCCCAGCUUGCUGUGUGCUAACUCACCAUAUAGCCAUGCCCAUACCAUUUUUGUAUCUUCUUGUUUCAGGCCCCAAUCCUGCAAACAGGAUCAUGCAGAGUCAGGCCCCUGUGCCUAUGCAGAAUCAAUUGCAGAAUAUGUAAAUGUAAUGAAAGUAUUCUAAAACAUAAAACACAGGGGAAAUUCAAAAUCCUUAUUCAGCCAUCUGCUGAAUGCACACAAAGGGUGAUCCUGAAGGCGCUAUGCUGACAAAACUCCCAUUGAAGUUGAGUGGCCUUUUGCCUGUAUGAUGCAAUCAGGAGUAGGUCUUAAGUGGGAUAAAGGUUUGACUCCCUAAUAUUAGGGGCCAGGAGUGAAAACUGCUUCCUGUUUUCAUUUAUAGUGAAAAAAGAGCAUUUCAGUUAAGAAGAUCCUGCUGCAAGCUCUCCCAGUAGAAUUUGAAGUCAUUUUGCACUACUCUUUCCCUCUUGUUUGAAUUUCAUAUUUUUCCCUGUCCUUGGCUCACAUAUGAGUUGAUAUUGCCCCAAACUUUUAGUCAAAAAUAAUAAUUUUAUUUAAUAAAAUUUGACCACAUGGCGAAUAUUUGUGCA
This is a long non-coding RNA of Chrysemys picta bellii (western painted turtle), 1405 nucleotides long. NCBI's taxonomy places the organism in Eukaryota, Metazoa, Chordata, Testudines, Emydidae. The record is from Ensembl.